AACGCGUGGGUAACCUGCCUCAUACAGGGGGAUAACAGUUAGAAAUGACUGCUAAUACCGCAUAAGACCACAGAGCCGCAUGGCUCAGUGGGAAAAACUCCGGUGGUAUGAGAUGGACCCGCGUCUGAUUAGGUAGUUGGUGGGGUAACGGCCUACCAAGCCAACGAUCAGUAGCCGACCUGAGAGGGUGACCGGCCACAUUGGGACUGAGACACGGCCCAAACUCCUACGGGAGGCAGCAGUGGGGAAUAUUGCACAAUGGGGGAAACCCUGAUGCAGCGACGCCGCGUGAGCGAAGAAGUAUUUCGGUAUGUAAAGCUCUAUCAGCAGGGAAGAAAAUGACGGUACCUGACUAAGAAGCACCGGCUAAAUACGUGCCAGCAGCCGCGGUAAUACGUAUGGUGCAAGCGUUAUCCGGAUUUACUGGGUGUAAAGGGAGCGUAGACGGCUGUGUAAGUCUGAAGUGAAAGCCCGGGGCUCAACCCCGGGACUGCUUUGGAAACUAUGCAGCUAGAGUGUCGGAGAGGUAAGUGGAAUUCCCAGUGUAGCGGUGAAAUGCGUAGAUAUUGGGAGGAACACCAGUGGCGAAGGCGGCUUACUGGACGAUGACUGACGUUGAGGCUCGAAAGCGUGGGGAGCAA
This 641-nucleotide ribosomal RNA is filed under the name uncultured bacterium. Its description in RNAcentral is "bacterial SSU rRNA". It matches the Rfam family "Bacterial small subunit ribosomal RNA", at positions 112 to 771 of the family's 1533-position model. The record is from RNAcentral.